This 83-nucleotide transfer RNA is filed under the name Pseudonocardiaceae bacterium. RNAcentral describes it as "tRNA-Leu". It matches the Rfam family "tRNA". Rfam says of the family: Transfer RNA (tRNA) molecules are approximately 80 nucleotides in length. Their secondary structure includes four short double-helical elements and three loops (D, anti-codon, and T loops). Lineage: Bacteria; Bacillati; Actinomycetota; Actinomycetes; Pseudonocardiales; Pseudonocardiaceae. The record is from RNAcentral. RNAcentral also lists the same sequence under 3 other names.
GCCGGGGUGGCGGAAUGGCAUACGCGGACGCCUCAAAAGCGUCUGUCCCUAGGGGCAUGCGGGUUCGAAUCCCGCUCCCGGCA